This 84-nucleotide transfer RNA is filed under the name Verrucomicrobia bacterium GWF2_62_7. Its description in RNAcentral is "tRNA-Leu". It matches the Rfam family "tRNA". From Rfam's summary of the family: Transfer RNA (tRNA) molecules are approximately 80 nucleotides in length. Their secondary structure includes four short double-helical elements and three loops (D, anti-codon, and T loops). Further hydrogen bonds mediate the characteristic L-shaped molecular structure. tRNAs have two regions of fundamental functional importance: the anti-codon, which is responsible for specific mRNA codon recognition, and the 3' end, to which the tRNAs corresponding amino acid is attached (by aminoacyl-tRNA synthetases). tRNAs cope with the degeneracy of the genetic code in two manners: having more than one tRNA (with a specific anti-codon) for a particular amino acid; and 'wobble' base-pairing, i.e. permitting non-standard base-pairing at the 3rd anti-codon position. RNAcentral also lists the same sequence under 1 other name. The record is from RNAcentral. Lineage: Bacteria; Pseudomonadati; Verrucomicrobiota.
GCGGGCGUGGCGGAAUGGCAGACGCAUCCCGUUUAGGGCGGGACGCCGCAAGGCUUACAGGUUCAAGUCCUGUCGCCCGCACCA